This 1128-nucleotide long non-coding RNA is filed under the name Equus caballus (horse). Its description in RNAcentral is "lncRNA (ENSECAG00000041239.2)". The record is from RNAcentral. Lineage: Eukaryota; Metazoa; Chordata; Mammalia; Perissodactyla; Equidae.
GGAACCCUCUUACCUGUCAAUGACUUUCCCUCUUGGAAUUUGAGGGAACAACUGGAAUGCCCCCAGCUUUUCCCACAGAUGCAACUCUGCCAGAGUCACUAUCUGAGGGCUUAUCAAAUGUUUCAUCUGUCAUCGUGGUCAACAAAGGAGACAAGAAGCUGAAGCUCAGAAAGGUUUGCGUAGCAGUAAGAGGCCAAGCCACAGUUGGAACCUGCAUUUCCUGAAGUCAGUUUCCAUGUUCUUUCCACUUUAUCAUAGCUCCUUCCUCCGAAUAGCGCUGACCCAGAGUAAAUCCUCAAGGUUUGCUUCAGCUAAACCGGCAUCAUCAAAAGAUUUUAAAAGUCCUAAGGCUAUAAAACCUCUCCAAAGCCCACAGACCUGUUUAGAUGAGGGGAGGAGACUGAGCUGACCGACUAGUAUUGUCCAUUAGCACAAUUCCUAUUCCCUUACCUUAUUACAGUGGCCUGUGUGGAACAGCUGCCAAAUCCUACCAAACCCAGUGCAGUUCAUUUUUCCUCUGCACAGGCAAGCUUCCUCACCUGUAAUUUCAUCCCUUUAAUGGCUUGCAGCUGGCAAAGAAUGAGACGUCAUCUCUAAGCAGAGAGGACAAAGUAAGGCAGCCGGAUUACCCAGGGGAGGAGGGGAACUUGGUGGAGCCCUCCAGAAAGCAACCAUUUCCUUCCCCUGGAAUUGUCACCCCUAGACCCACUAUUUUAUUUGGUCACAUGAAGCAGAACACAUAAUGUGAUCCCCUCUAGAUGAAUGCAUGGGCUCCAUUCCCAGCCCUUUCAGCACCAACAUUCACUACUCUUAUCACUUAUCUGUCCCAACACCUUGCGUGUGCUUGGAGCUUGUGGCUUCUCUGGAACGGCUAAUUUCACUUUUGUCAAUUCAACUUCAACAACUCUCAUUUUAAAGGAAAAGAAAAAUAACGUUUGAAUGUGCCUGACCUCUUUCAAGUCUUUGUGAAGUCCUGGAGGAAGAGGAACCACCCACAGAGAAAGAGGAACACUCAUUCAUUCAACAGCAAAUCAUUUCUGUGUUAAGAUUCGGAAGUAAUCAAGAGCAUGGGCUUUGGCAUUACACCGAUGGUGUGACGGUGUUCUAAUCUUGGCUCCACCACUUAAU